RNAcentral lists this ribosomal RNA (511 nucleotides) under uncultured Glomus. RNAcentral describes it as "SSU rRNA". It matches the Rfam family "Eukaryotic small subunit ribosomal RNA", at positions 569 to 1081 of the family's 1831-position model. Lineage: Eukaryota; Fungi; Glomeromycota; Glomeromycetes; Glomerales; Glomeraceae. The record is from RNAcentral.
AGCAGCCGCGGUAAUUCCAGCUCCAAUAGCGUAUAUUAAAGUUGUUGCAGUUAAAAAGCUCGUAGUUGAAUUUCGGGAUCAAUACGUCGGUCGUGCUUCGGUACGUACUGGCGUCAUUGAUUUCUCCCUUCUGACGAACCAUGAUGUCAUUAACUUGGUGUCAUGGGAAAUCAGGACUGUUACUUUGAAAAAAUUGAGUGUUUAAAGCAGGCUCACGCUUGAAUACAUUAGCAUGGGAUAAUGAAAUAGGACGUUCGAUCCUAUUUUGUUGGUUUCUAGGAUUGACGUAAUGAUUAAUAGGGAUAGUUGGGGGCAUUAGUAUUCAAUUGUCAGAGGUGAAAUUCUUGGAUUUAUUGAAGACUAACUACUGCGAAAGCAUUUGCCAAGGAUGUUUUCAUUAAUCAAGAACGAAAGUUAGGGGAUCGAAGACGAUCAGAUACCGUCGUAGUCUUAAACCAUAAACUAUGCCGACUAGGGAUCGGAUGAUGUUUAAUUUUUAAUGUACUCAUUC